AUGCAAGUCGAACGAAGUAGCAAUACUUAGUGGCAGACGGGUGAGUAACAUGUAGGUAUCCGCCCUUUGGCCUGGAAUAACACGAGGAAACUUGUGCUAAUACCGGAUAAGUCUUUACGGAGAAAGCUUUAUGCACCAUUGGAUGAGCCUGCACUUGAUUAGUUUGUUGGUAGGGUAAUGGCCUACCAAGACUGUGAUCAAUAGCUGAUUUGAGAGGAUGAUCAGCCACAUUGGGACUGAGACACGGCCCAAACUCCUACGGGAGGCAGCAGUGGGGAAUCUUGCACAAUGGAGGAAACUCUGAUGCAGCGAUGCCGCGUGAGUGAAGAAGGCCCUUGGGUUGUAAAGCUCUUUCGUCGGGGAAGAAAAUGACUGUACCCGAAUAAGAAGGUCCGGCUAACUUCGUGCCAGCAGCCGCGGUAAUACGAAGGGACCUAGCGUAGUUCGGAAUUACUGGGCUUAAAGAGUUCGUAGGUGGUUGAAAAAGUUGGUGGUGAAAUCCCAGAGCUUAACUCUGGAACUGCCAUCAAAACUUUUCAGCUAGAGUAUGAUAGAGGAAAGCAGAAUUUCUAGUGUAGAGGUGAAAUUCGUAGAUGUUAGAAAGAAUACCAAUUGCGAAGGCAGCUUUCUGGAUCAUUACUGACACUGAGGAACGAAAGCAUGGGUAGCGAAGAGGAUUAGAUACCCUCGUAGUCCAUGCCGUAAACGAUGUGUGUUAGACGUUGGAAAUUUAUUUUCAGUGUCGCAGCGAAAGCGAUAAACACACCGCCUGGGGAGUACGACCGCAAGGUUAAAACUCAAAUGAAUUGACGGGGACCCGCACAAGUAGUGGAGCAUGUGGUUUAAUUCGAAGAUACGCGCAGAACCUUACCAACACUUGACAUGUUCGUCGCGACUCUAAGAGAUUAGAGUUUUCG
Molecule: ribosomal RNA, 917 nt
Filed under: uncultured marine bacterium
Lineage: Bacteria
Description: bacterial SSU rRNA
Rfam family: Bacterial small subunit ribosomal RNA
Source: RNAcentral